CCUACGGGAGGCAGCAGUGGGGAAUCUUGCGCAAUGGGCGAAAGCCUGACGCAGCAACGCCGCGUGGAGGAAGAAGGCCUUCGGGUUGUAAACUCCUGUCAGGGGGGAAGAAGGCACCUGGGUGAAUAGCCCAAGGGCUGACGGUACCCCCAGAGGAAGCCACGGCUAACUACGUGCCAGCAGCCGCGGUAAUACGUAGGUGGCUAGCGUUGUCCGGAAUCAUUGGGCGUAAAGCGCGCGUAGGCGGCUUGUCAGGUCUGAUGUAAAAUCUCGGGGCUUAACCCCAGGCGUGCAUCGGAAACCGGCUUGCUAGAGUCUGGGAGAGGAGAGUGGAAUUCCUGGUGUAGCGGUAAAAUGCGUAGAUAUCAGGAGGAACACCGGUUGCGAAGGCGGCUCUCUGGGGUCAACCUGACGCUGAGGUGCGAAAGCGUGGGGAGCGAACCGGAUUAGAUACCCGGGUAGU
This 463-nucleotide ribosomal RNA is filed under the name uncultured Thermoleophilia bacterium. Its description in RNAcentral is "partial 16S ribosomal RNA". It matches the Rfam family "Bacterial small subunit ribosomal RNA", at positions 338 to 794 of the family's 1533-position model. Lineage: Bacteria; Bacillati; Actinomycetota; Thermoleophilia. The record is from RNAcentral.